This 253-nucleotide ribosomal RNA is filed under the name uncultured bacterium. RNAcentral's name for it is "partial 16S ribosomal RNA". It matches the Rfam family "Bacterial small subunit ribosomal RNA", at positions 524 to 776 of the family's 1533-position model. The record is from RNAcentral.
UACGAAGGGGGCGAGCGUUGUUCGGAUUUACUGGGCGUAAAGGGUGCGUAGGUGGCGCCAUAAGUCAGGUGUGAAAUCUCGGGGCUCAACCCCGAAACUGCACUUGAUACUGUGGUGCUGGAGUACUGGAGAGGAGAUUGGAAUUUACGGUGUAGCAGUGAAAUGCGUAGAUAUCGUAAGGAAGACCAGUGGCGAAGGCGAAUCUCUGGACAGUUACUGACACUGAGGCACGAAGGCCAGGGGAGCAAACGGG